AUUGAACGCUGGCGGCAGGCUUAACACAUGCAAGUCGAGCGGGGGAAGGUAGCUUGCUACCGGACCUAGCGGCGGACGGGUGAGUAAUGCUUAGGAAUCUGCCUAUUAGUGGGGGACAACAUCUCGAAAGGGAUGCUAAUACCGCAUACGUCCUACGGGAGAAAGCAGGGGAUCUUCGGACCUUGCGCUAAUAGAUGAGCCUAAGUCGGAUUAGCUAGUUGGUGGGGUAAAGGCCUACCAAGGCGACGAUCUGUAGCGGGUCUGAGAGGAUGAUCCGCCACACUGGAGCUGAGACACGGCCCAGACUCCGACGGGAGGCAGCAGUGGGGAAUAUUGGACAAUGGGGGGAAACCUGAUCCAGCCAUGCCGCGUGUGUGAAGAAGGCCUUAUGGUUGUAAAGCACUUUAAGCGAGGAGGAGGCUACCCUAGUUAAUACCUAGGGAUAGUGGACGUUACUCGCAGAAUAAGCACCGGCUAACUCUGUGCCAGCCGCCGCGGUAA
Molecule: ribosomal RNA, 501 nt
Filed under: uncultured bacterium
Lineage: Bacteria
Description: partial 16S ribosomal RNA
Rfam family: Bacterial small subunit ribosomal RNA
Source: RNAcentral